Molecule: ribosomal RNA, 425 nt
Filed under: uncultured bacterium
Lineage: Bacteria
Description: partial 16S ribosomal RNA
Rfam family: Bacterial small subunit ribosomal RNA
Source: RNAcentral
GUGGGGAAUAUUGGACAAUGGGGGCAACCCUGAUCCAGCAAUGCCGCGUGUGUGAAGAAGGUCUUCGGAUUGUAAAGCACUUUCGACGGGGACGAUGAUGACGGUACCCGUAGAAGAAGCCCCGGCUAACUUCGUGCCAGCAGCCGCGGUAAUACGAAGGGGGCUAGCGUUGCUCGGAAUGACUGGGCGUAAAGGGCGUGUAGGCGGUUUGUACAGUCAGAUGUGAAAUCCCCGGGCUUAACCUGGGAGCUGCAUUUGAUACGUGCAGACUAGAGUGUGAGAGAGGGUUGUGGAAUUCCCAGUGUAGAGGUGAAAUUCGUAGAUAUUGGGAAGAACACCGGUGGCGAAGGCGGCAACCUGGCUCAUUACUGACGCUGAGGCGCGAAAGCGUGGGGAGCAAACAGGAUUAGAUACCCGAGUAGUCC